AAUAGAGUUUGGAUCUGGCUCAGGAUGAACGCUGGCGGCGUGCCUAAUACAUGCAAGUCGAGCGAACAGACAAGGAGCUUGCUCCUUUGACGUUAGCGGCGGACGGGUGAGUAACACGUGGGUAACCUACCUAUAAGACUGGGAUAACUUCGGGAAACCGGAGCUAAUACCGGAUAAUAUUUCGAACCGCAUGGUUCGAUAGUGAAAGAUGGUUUUGCUAUCACUUAUAGAUGGACCCGCGCCGUAUUAGCUAGUUGGUAAGGUAACGGCUUACCAAGGCGACGAUACGUAGCCGACCUGAGAGGGUGAUCGGCCACACUGGAACUGAGACACGGUCCAGACUCCUACGGGAGGCAGCAGUAGGGAAUCUUCCGCAAUGGGCGAAAGCCUGACGGAGCAACGCCGCGUGAGUGAUGAAGGUCUUCGGAUCGUAAAACUCUGUUAUUAGGGAAGAACAUACGUGUAAGUAACUAUGCACGUCUUGACGGUACCUAAUCAGAAAGCCACGGCUAACUACGUGCCAGCAGCCGCGGUAAUACGUAGGUGGCAAGCGUUAUCCGGAAUUAUUGGGCGUAAAGCGCGCGUAGGCGGUUUUUUAAGUCUGAUGUGAAAGCCCACGGCUCAACCGUGGAGGGUCAUUGGAAACUGGAAAACUUGAGUGCAGAAGAGGAAAGUGGAAUUCCAUGUGUAGCGGUGAAAUGCGCA
RNAcentral lists this ribosomal RNA (705 nucleotides) under Staphylococcus haemolyticus. RNAcentral describes it as "bacterial SSU rRNA". It matches the Rfam family "Bacterial small subunit ribosomal RNA", at positions 1 to 692 of the family's 1533-position model. Lineage: Bacteria; Bacillati; Bacillota; Bacilli; Caryophanales; Staphylococcaceae. The record is from RNAcentral.